RNAcentral lists this unclassified non-coding RNA (1380 nucleotides) under Zea mays. Its description in RNAcentral is "misc RNA Zm00001eb113440". The record is from RNAcentral. Lineage: Eukaryota; Viridiplantae; Streptophyta; Magnoliopsida; Poales; Poaceae.
GCUCCUCCGACGACUACUAGCUCUCGCUUGCUCCGACGACCCCUGCCGGCCGCCUCUGGUACAACGUACGAGAGGAAGAGAGACGAUCGAUGGCCGGCGCCACCGUGACCGUGGACGAGGUGAGGAAGGGCCAGCGCGCGACCGGCCCCGCCACCGUGCUGGCCAUCGGGACGGCGACGCCCGCCAACUGCGUGUACCAGGCCGACUACCCGGACUACUACUUCCGGAUCACCAAGAGCGACCACCUCACCGACCUCAAGGAGAAGUUCAAGAGGAUGUGCGACAAGUCGAUGAUCCGGAAGCGGUACAUGCACCUGACGGAGGAGUUCCUGUCGGAGAACCCGAGCAUGUGCGCGUACAUGGCGCCGUCGCUGGACGCGCGGCAGGACGUGGUGGUGACGGAGGUGCCGAAGCUGGGGAAGGCGGCGGCGCAGAAGGCGAUCAAGGAGUGGGGGCAGCCCAAGUCGCGGAUCACGCACCUGGUGUUCUGCACCACGUCGGGGGUGGACAUGCCGGGCGCCGACUACCAGCUGACCAAGGCGCUGGGGCUGCGCCCGUCCGUGAACCGCCUGAUGAUGUACCAGCAGGGGUGCUUCGCGGGCGGCACGGUGCUGCGCGUGGCCAAGGACCUGGCGGAGAACAACCGCGGGGCGAGGGUCCUGGUGGUGUGCUCGGAGAUCACGGCCGUGACGUUCCGCGGGCCGUCCGAGUCGCACCUGGACUCGCUCGUGGGGCAGGCGCUGUUCGGCGACGGCGCGGCGGCCGUCGUGGUGGGCGCCGACCCGGACGGGCGGGUCGAGCGCCCGCUGUUCCAGCUCGUGUCGGCGGCGCAGACCAUCCUGCCCGACUCGGAGGGCGCCAUCGACGGCCACCUCCGCGAGGUGGGGCUGACGUUCCACCUGCUCAAGGACGUGCCCGGGCUCAUCUCCAAGAACAUCGAGCGCGCGCUGGAGGACGCGUUCGAGCCGCUCGGCAUCUCCGACUGGAACUCCAUCUUCUGGGUGGCGCACCCCGGCGGGCCCGCCAUCCUGGACCAGGUGGAGGCCAGGGUCGGGCUGGACAAGGCCAGGAUGCGCGCCACCCGCCACGUCCUCUCCGAGUACGGCAACAUGUCCAGCGCCUGCGUGCUCUUCAUCCUGGACGAGAUGCGCAAGCGCUCCGCCGAGGACGGCCAGGCCACCACCGGCGAGGGGCUCGACUGGGGCGUCCUCUUCGGCUUCGGCCCGGGCCUCACCGUCGAGACCGUCGUGCUCCACAGCGUCCCCAUCACCACCGGAGCGCCCACCGCCGCCUGAGUCGUCCAUCUAUCCUCGCGAUCGCUCCAGACAUGAACGACCCGACCUACGAAUAAUGUAUCUGCGUAAUUAAUUACUAUCUGUC